GGAGUUAGCCGGUGCUUCUUCUGCGAGUAACGUCACAGAUGUAAGGUAUUAACUUACACCCUUUCCUCCUCGCUGAAAGUGCUUUACAACCCGAAGGCCUUCUUCACACACGCGGCAUGGCUGCAUCAGGGUUUCCCCCAUUGUGCAAUAUUCCCCACUGCUGCCUCCCGUAGGAGUCUGGGCCGUGUCUCAGUCCCAGUGUGGCUGAUCAUCCUCUCAGACCAGCUAGGGAUCGUCGCCUAGGUGAGCCUUUACCUCACCUACUAGCUAAUCCCACCUGGGCUUAUCCAUCAGCGCAAGGCCCGAAGGUCCCCUGCUUUCCCCCGUAGGGCGUAUGCGGUAUUAGCAGUCGUUUCCAACUGUUAUCCCCACAAAUGGGCAAAUUCCCAGGCAUUACUCACCCGUCCGCCGCUCGUCAUCUUCAAAAGCAAGCUUUUGAAAUGUUACCGCUCGACUUGCAUGUGUUAGGCCUGCCGCCAGCGUUCAAUCUGAGCCAGGAUCAAACUCGA
Molecule: ribosomal RNA, 509 nt
Filed under: uncultured bacterium
Lineage: Bacteria
Description: partial 16S ribosomal RNA
Source: RNAcentral